CACGUAGGUGGCGAGCGUUGUCCGGAAUUACUGGGUGUAAAGGGCGUGUAGGCGGGAGAGCAAGUCAGAUGUGAAAGCCCAAGGCUCAACUUUGGGACUGCAUCUGAAACUGUUCUUCUUGAGUACUGGAGAGGGAAGCGGAAUUCCUAGUGUAGCGGUGAAAUGCGUAGAGAUUAGGAGGAACACCAGUGGCGAAGGCGGCUUCCUGGACAGAGACUGACGCUGAGGCGCGAAAGCGUGGGGAGCGAACAGGAUUAGAUACCCUGGUAGUCCACGCCGUAAACGAUGGAUACUAGGUGUAGGAGGUAUCGACACCUUCUGUGCCGGAGUUAACACAAUAAGUAUCCCACCUGGGGAGUACGGCCGCAAGGCUGAAACUCAAAGGAAUUGACGGGGGCCCGCACAAGCAGUGGAGUAUGUGGUUUAAUUCGAAGCAACGCGAAGAACCUUACCAGGGCUUGACAUCCCCUGACGUUACUGGAAACAGUAAUUUCCUUCGGGACAGGGAGACAGGUGGUGCAUGGUU
Molecule: ribosomal RNA, 526 nt
Filed under: uncultured bacterium
Lineage: Bacteria
Description: bacterial SSU rRNA
Rfam family: Bacterial small subunit ribosomal RNA
Source: RNAcentral